This 915-nucleotide ribosomal RNA is filed under the name Triticum aestivum (bread wheat). RNAcentral describes it as "partial small subunit ribosomal RNA". Lineage: Eukaryota; Viridiplantae; Streptophyta; Magnoliopsida; Poales; Poaceae. The record is from RNAcentral.
AUGCCAAUGUUCGGAAACAAUAUUUUGAUGUUGCUGUUGCUGUUGUUAUUCUUGUUGUGGUUACCUGAAAUGUUGAUAUUCUACUUUUUUGAAGCGCUUGUUUCCUAUUUAUGUCCAGUCCUGUUUAUGGUAACUUGUUGUUUAAUUUACAAUGCUGCUUUUCACAGAAGUGAGAUGGCUGGCUUGGAAGGUUUCGAGUUCUUCGAGAUCGUAAUUGAGAAAUCUUGCAGUAGGCAGAGGCUACCUGACAAGUUUGCGAAGAUGCUCGCCGGCCAUGAGCCCCACAAAGUGAAGCUGCGGGAGGCCGGCAGCGGGCUUCGCAGGCUGUGGGGCGUGUUGGUGGUGUUCGAUGGUGAAGGCCACAUGUACCUAGGGCCCGGCUGGGAGCAGUUCGCCCGCGCCCAUGAGCUACAGCUCAGGCACUUCCUUGUCUUCCGCUACGACGGCGACGCCAUGUUCACCGUGAAGAUGUUCGACAACACCAUGUGCCGCAUGUACUACCAUCACGACGACGAUGCCAGCAAUGGGAGCAGCAGCAGGGAUGACGAGGAGCGGAGUGGGGAUGACGAGGAGCAGAGCGGGGAUGCCGAGGAGCAGCCUAUUCUGGCUAACGACGACCCUGCUAUGUUGGUUGCGGAUGACGACCUUGCUAUGGUGGUGGCUGACGACGACCCUGCUAUGGUGGUGGCGGACGACGACCCUGCUAUGGUGGUGGCUGACGAUGACCUCGCGAUUGUGGUGCCUAAUGAUGACCUCGCAAUGGUGGUGCCUGACAAUGACCUCGUGAUGGUGGUGGCGCCUGCAAUCCCACAGCUUGGCUACAGGACCAUGCCAAUUAUGGUAGAGGAGUACAUCCGCGUUGGGAUUCGCCACUCUGAGCGCAUCAAGUUGAUGAAGGAGAAGAAGGAGGAGUGA